Molecule: ribosomal RNA, 495 nt
Filed under: uncultured bacterium
Lineage: Bacteria
Description: partial 16S ribosomal RNA
Rfam family: Bacterial small subunit ribosomal RNA
Source: RNAcentral
GACGAACGCUGGCGGCGUGCCUAAUACAUGCAAGUAGAACGCUGAAGGAGGAGCUUGCUUCUCUGGAUGAGCUGCGAACGGGUGAGUAACGCGUAGGUAACCUGCCUGGUAGCGGGGGAUAACUAUUGGAAACGAUAGCUAAUACCGCAUAAUAUUGACUAUUGCAUGAUAGUCAGUUGAAAGGUGCAACUGCACCACUACCAGAUGGACCUGCGUUGUAUUAGCUAGUUGGUGGGGUAACGGCUCACCAAGGCGACGAUACAUAGCCGACCUGAGAGGGGGAUCGGCCACACUGGGACUGAGACACGGCCCAGACUCCUACGGGAGGCAGCAGUAGGGAAUCUUCGGCAAUGGACGGAAGGCUGACCGAGCAACGCCGCGUGAGUGAAGAAGGGUGUCGGAUCGUAAAGCUCUGUUGUAAGAGAAGAACGAGUGUGAGAGUGGAAAGCUCACACUGUGACGGUAUCUUACCAGAAAGGGACGGCUAACUACGUG